This is a microRNA precursor of Propithecus coquereli (Coquerel's sifaka), 78 nucleotides long. Ensembl annotates it as microRNA 132. Its record names the gene MIR132. The record is from Ensembl. NCBI's taxonomy places the organism in Eukaryota, Metazoa, Chordata, Mammalia, Primates, Indriidae.
CCGCCCCCGCGUCUCCAGGGCAACCGUGGCUUUCGAUUGUUACUGUGGGAACCGGAGGUAACAGUCUACAGCCAUGGU